GACGAACGCUGGCGGCGUGCUUAACACAUGCAAGUCGAGCGGAGCGGCGAACGGGUGAGUAACGCGGGAGUAACUGCCCCCCUCUCUGGGAUAACAGUUGGAAAGGGCAGCUAAUACCGGAAAGUGGGGGUUGACUCGCGUCCUAUCAGCUGGUGGGUGGGGUAGUGGCUUACCAAGGCGACGACGAGUAGCCGGCCUGGGAGGGCGACCGGCCCCAUUGGGCUGGGGUACGGGCCGAACGCAUACGGGCGGCAGCAGUGGGGGUUAUUGCACAAUGGGGGAAGCCCUGAUGCAGCAACGCGCGUGCGGGAUGACUGUCUUCGGGUUGUAAACCGCUUUCAGCCAUGACGCGGUAGUGGCAGAAGAAGCACCGGCUAACUACGUGCCAGCAGCCGCGGUAAUAC
RNAcentral lists this ribosomal RNA (404 nucleotides) under uncultured bacterium. Its description in RNAcentral is "partial 16S ribosomal RNA". It matches the Rfam family "Bacterial small subunit ribosomal RNA", at positions 28 to 526 of the family's 1533-position model. The record is from RNAcentral.